GGUGGUUCUCAGGUGACACACCCUGUAAUUGGGCUCCCUCCUCUCUGGUUCCAGGUGCAUUACCCCAGAACCACA
Molecule: non-coding RNA, 75 nt
Organism: Myotis brandtii (Brandt's bat)
Lineage: Eukaryota; Metazoa; Chordata; Mammalia; Chiroptera; Vespertilionidae
Source: Rfam